This 87-nucleotide transfer RNA is filed under the name Riverina rivularis. RNAcentral's name for it is "Hildenbrandia rivularis tRNA-Ser". It matches the Rfam family "tRNA". From Rfam's summary of the family: Transfer RNA (tRNA) molecules are approximately 80 nucleotides in length. Their secondary structure includes four short double-helical elements and three loops (D, anti-codon, and T loops). The record is from RNAcentral. Lineage: Eukaryota; Rhodophyta; Florideophyceae; Hildenbrandiales; Hildenbrandiaceae.
GGUGAGAUGGCCGAGUGGUUUAAGGCGCAGUAUUGGAAUUGCUGUUUAAGACUUGUCUUAACGAGGGUUCGAAUCCCUCUCUCACCU